This is a non-coding RNA of Hyla sarda, 1919 nucleotides long. Lineage: Eukaryota; Metazoa; Chordata; Amphibia; Anura; Hylidae. The record is from the annotation of a RefSeq genome assembly.
UUUCAUCUCACGCUUUACAGUCUCUCACACCUGAUUAUACAUCUUGUAGUAUUCACAAUACAACAUGAUGUGGACUAAUGGUGGAUCAAUGAUUCCAGGUCUAUUAUUAUUUCUUUUCAUUACAGAUGUGCGGUGUGAUUCUCAGGUGUCACAGGAGUCUGAUCUUCAGAUUACAGAAAACCAAGAUAUCACCCUGAACUGUUCUCACAAAAUAUCAACCUAUGACCUUCUGAUCUGGUACAAGCAAAUCCCUGGACACGGCCUAGAGAUCUAUGGUUAUGGUCUUACUGCAGUUACUAACCCAUAUCCAAGAUACUCAAUGACUAUAGACAGAAAAUCUCUGACUACACAGCUUCAUAUAAAGAAUGUGAAGGGGGAAGACGCAGCCGUGUAUUACUGUGCAGUGAGGGACACAGUGACAGUGACAGACUGCAGAUCUGUACAAGAACCACCCACCAAGCACAAAUAAAAUGGAUACUUUUCCUCUGAACAGGUUUUGAUAUACUGUAUCUCCCCCACUUGUUUAAAUGUCAUACUUGUGAACAUUUGAGAUUCUGAAAAUGGCAUGCAAAGCUAAAUGUUUUGCUUUAUGCCCUCUCUUUUUAUGUAGGAUAUACACUUACAUACUUAAUUUAAUCACAGAUAGUACAUGUGACACCAUCAUCGCUCCCCAAAAUUAAUAUAUAUCCCCCAAAUAAUACAGACCACAGACUACCUAACCAAAUAUAAACCCCAUACCCCCAAAAUAAAGACUACAGACUUGACUACCUUUUUAGAGACUUCAAAAACAGGCCCUCUAAAAAGUUGUAGAUCCUUAGUACAGACCCCAGGCAAGAUUUCCCCUUUAAUAGAGACAUCAGACAACAAUUUAAAUAGAGGCCAGAGGCUAUAAUCGGACCCUCCUAUGGCUUAUCCUAUGCAGCAGCUACUACAGUGACCCCCCGACCUACGAUGGCCCCGACAUACGAUAAUUUCAAAAUAUGAUGGCAUCUCAGAGGCCAUCGCAUGUUGAAGGCAGCAUCAACAUACAAUGCUUUUGUAUGUCGUGGCCAUUGCAUAAACGGCUAUUCAGCAGCACAGACUGCUUCAGCUGGCACUGGAUAGCCAUUUAAGGUGCCCUGUGUGGUCCGGUGAUGAUCACUCACCUGUUCCCAGCGCUCUGGACCGUUCUCUUCAGGAUCCCCUGCAUCGCCGUCGCUCUCCUUCGUCCUCAUCACGCCAACGCGCAUGACGUCCCGUCAUCCAAUAGGAGCGGCGUGUGCAGCGACGUGAUGACGGCGAUGAAGAGCGACGAUCCCAGGCAGCAGAGACGAUCCGGAGCGGUGGGGACAUGGCGACAUCAAUGGAGGGCGACAUCCAGGGCAGCAGUGAUGGUCCGGAGCGGCGGGGACAGGUGAGUACAGCUUCCUAUACUUUUCAUUGCACGGAUCCCUCAACAUACGAUCGUUUCAACUAACAAUGGUUCAUUUGGAAUGAAUUACCAUCGUAUGUUGAGGGACCACUGUAUACUCUUUGCACUCUAAAAGUAAAGUUUAAUCUGGGGUGGGAUUGACUUUUACAAAGGGAAUGUAUCAGCUGUUUAUACUUUUGUAUUUAAAAAUGAAAUACAUUUUUAUUUUUUUACAUAUUUUUUAAAGUGUUAUUUGUCAAUGUGUAAACGAAAAAAAAAAAAAUAACUAUAACAAACUGACAAACCUGAACUCUGCCCAUCACGCACAUUCAUAAAUCUAGAAUAGUGCAUGGUUGUGGUCUGGAGCUAUUUUAGGAGGAACAGUAUUUUGUGGCAACUAGUAUAGUAGGAAGCAUAUAUAGCCCUGUGUAUAUAUAAAGGAUUAAUGUUUAUGUGAUCUGUAUCUAUACAUAUAUGAAAUUCUAUAUCUAGGAACAGACAAGAACAAACAUGCCCAUUUUCAUGCCAA